This 484-nucleotide ribosomal RNA is filed under the name uncultured bacterium. Its description in RNAcentral is "partial 16S ribosomal RNA". It matches the Rfam family "Bacterial small subunit ribosomal RNA", at positions 30 to 507 of the family's 1533-position model. The record is from RNAcentral.
AUUGAACGCUGGCGGGAGGGCGAACACAUGCAAGUCGAGCGGAUGAAGGGAGCUUGCUCCUGGAUUCAGCGGCGGACGGGUGAGUAAUGCCUAGGAAUCUGCCUGGUAGUGGGGGAUAACGUCCGGAAACGGGCGCUAAUACCGCAUACGUCCUGAGGGAGAAAGUGGGGGAUCUUCGGACCUCACGCUAUCAGAUGAGCCUAGGUCGGAUUAGCUAGUUGGUGGGGUAAAGGCCUACCAAGGCGACGAUCCGUAACUGGUCUGAGAGGAUGAUCAGUCACACUGGAACUGAGACACGGUCCAGACUCCUACGGGAGGCAGCAGUGGGGAAUAUUGGACAAUGGGCGAAAGCCUGAUCCAGCCAUGCCGCGUGUGUGAAGAAGGUCUUCGGAUUGUAAAGCACUUUAAGUUGGGAGGAAGGGCAGUAAGUUAAUACCUUGCUGUUUUGACGUUACCAACAGAAUAAGCACCGGCUAACUUCGUG